GAAUCGCCUUAAUUUUGAAAAUCGGAAAGCCAUUGGAUCGAGUUGAACAAAAGCCUAUUACAUUUCACGAAAUUGUGAACAUAUUACACAAGCCGCAAGUGAACACAUUGCAGAAGGUUUCAAACAUUAACUAAGUUCUGCGCAAGGUUAAUGAUAUCGUCCUAAAUUGAAGAUGCAAUAUGAAUGGCAACUACAAGAAUCCUGACGAUAUGCUGGAAUUAUCUUUGAUUUUUCUACGUAUGCAAGAGUCUGAACUAAGAAU
Ctenocephalides felis (cat flea) is the source of this 262-nucleotide long non-coding RNA. RefSeq lists it as uncharacterized. Lineage: Eukaryota; Metazoa; Arthropoda; Insecta; Siphonaptera; Pulicidae. The transcript is spliced from 4 exons. The record is from RefSeq and is a predicted model, not a curated record.